This 253-nucleotide ribosomal RNA is filed under the name uncultured bacterium. RNAcentral describes it as "partial 16S ribosomal RNA". It matches the Rfam family "Bacterial small subunit ribosomal RNA", at positions 524 to 776 of the family's 1533-position model. The record is from RNAcentral.
UACAGAGGGUGCGAGCGUUAAUCGGAAUUACUGGGCGUAAAGGGCGCGUAGGCGGAUUAAUUGGUGAGAUGUGAAAGCCCUGGGCUUAACCUAGGAAGUGCGUUUCAAACGAUUAAUCUGGAGUAUGGGAGAGGGUAGUGGAAUUUCCGGUGUAGCGGUGAAAUGCGUAGAGAUCGGAAAGAACGUCAAUGGCGAAGGCAGCUACCUGGCCUAAUACUGACGCUGAGGCGCGAGAGCGUGGGGAGCAAACAGG